CUUGACAUUACAUUUUCAGCUCAAUUUCCUGAAGAAUUAUCAGAGCCAUAGAAUGGAGAUAGUAAUCAUUCUCCUAGUCACCACGUAAGAGACUCUCCCAGCGGUUCACAGCCAGCUGUGAGGACAGACUCCACACACUUUUGAAAAGAACCCAGGCUGCCACCAGAACCCUUUUCUAAGGGAGCUGGGCUACUAUGCCUGAAUCCCACAGUAAAUAAAGGGUUGAGAAGAAAAGAAUUUUUAACGUCACAUUACCAAAACUCCUGGCCCCCAGAUGGCUGAUGCUAACAGAUCCUCUGUAUUGCAACGGAUGAAGAUGAGCCCUGGGCGGCCUUUGUCAACGGAUGAAGAUGAGCCCUGGGCGGCCUUUGUCAACGGAUGA
Long non-coding RNA from Bos taurus (domestic cattle), 382 nucleotides. The record is from Ensembl. NCBI's taxonomy places the organism in Eukaryota, Metazoa, Chordata, Mammalia, Artiodactyla, Bovidae.